This 31-nucleotide non-coding RNA is filed under the name Homo sapiens (human). The record is from RNAcentral. Lineage: Eukaryota; Metazoa; Chordata; Mammalia; Primates; Hominidae.
UGUGCAAAUAUAAAGUGACAUUACUUAACAC